RNAcentral lists this long non-coding RNA (291 nucleotides) under Rosa chinensis. RNAcentral describes it as "sRNA RchiOBHm_Chr5g0054311". The record is from RNAcentral. Lineage: Eukaryota; Viridiplantae; Streptophyta; Magnoliopsida; Rosales; Rosaceae.
UACUUAUUUAUAUAGUAUCUAUCUAAAAGAGUUUCCCUUGGUGCUUGUUUGUUUGCAAUGUUAUGAGCAUUCACCUGACGAGUGCAAAGUCUUUGGUUGGAGUUGCACAAAAGGAAAAGAAGGCAGCAAAUCCAUGCUCCAGCUAAUUUAAAAAAGGGCACACACCAAAUGCUUUCACAAGCAUUAUAGUGCUUUUAACAGAUCACACAGUUUUGCUUUUCUAGGCCAUGCAAAUACUAAAAGGCACUUUGCAUUGUGUCUUCAUCAAGAUUGGGUAUCAAUGUGGGCUUU